This 353-nucleotide ribosomal RNA is filed under the name Hydraena chiesai. RNAcentral's name for it is "eukaryotic LSU rRNA". It matches the Rfam family "Eukaryotic large subunit ribosomal RNA", at positions 753 to 1098 of the family's 3401-position model. The record is from RNAcentral. Lineage: Eukaryota; Metazoa; Arthropoda; Insecta; Coleoptera; Hydraenidae.
UCGCACGCCCGGGGCGUCCCAUUCUCAUUGCGAGAGGGGGCGCACCUAGAGCGUACACGCUGGGACCCGAAAGAUGGUGAACUAUGCCUGGUCAGGACGAAGUCAGGGGAAACCCUGAUGGAGGUCCGUAGCGAUUCUGACGUGCAAAUCGAUCGUCGGAACUGGGUAUAGGGGCGAAAGACCAAUCGAACCAUCUAGUAGCUGGUUCCCUCCGAAGUUUCCCUCAGGAUAGCUGGCGCUCGCUGUGUGCGAGUCUCAUCCGGUAAAGCGAAUGAUUAGAGGCAUUGGGGUCGAAACGGCCUCAACCUAUUCUCAAACUUUAAAUGGGUGAGAUCUCCGGCUUGCUCGAACUA